UGCCUGGCAUAGGAUAUGACUGUCAAUA
Molecule: non-coding RNA, 28 nt
Filed under: Mus musculus (house mouse)
Lineage: Eukaryota; Metazoa; Chordata; Mammalia; Rodentia; Muridae
Source: RNAcentral